AACGAACGCUGGCGGUAGGCCUAACACAUGCAAGUCGAACGCCCUAGCAAUAGGGAGUGGCAGACGGGUGAGUAACACGUGGGAACGUGCCCUUCGGUUCGGAAUAACUAAGGGAAACUUGAGCUAAUACCGGAUAAGUGCGAGAGCAGAAAGAUUUAUCGCCGAAGGAUCGGCCCGCGUCCGAUUAGCUAGUUGGUGAGGUAAUGGCUCACCAAGGCGACGAACGGUAGCUGGUCUGAGAGGAUGACCAGCCACACUGGGACUGAGACACGGCCCAGACUCCUACGGGAGGUAGCAGUGGGGAAUAUUGGACAAUGGGCGCAAGCCUGAUCCAGCCAUGCCGCGUGAGUGAUGAAGGCCCUAGGGUUGUAAAGCUCUUUCGCCAGGGACGAUAAUGACGGUACCUGGAUAAGAAGCCCCGGCCAACUUCGUGCCAGCCGCCGCCGUAA
RNAcentral lists this ribosomal RNA (449 nucleotides) under uncultured bacterium. Its description in RNAcentral is "partial 16S ribosomal RNA". It matches the Rfam family "Bacterial small subunit ribosomal RNA", at positions 29 to 523 of the family's 1533-position model. The record is from RNAcentral.